GGAUCCCUGCCCUUUGUACACACCGCCCGUCGCUACUACCGAUUGAAUGGCUCAGUGAGGCGUCCGGACUGGC
RNAcentral lists this ribosomal RNA (73 nucleotides) under Fusarium sp. RNAcentral describes it as "partial small subunit ribosomal RNA". It matches the Rfam family "Eukaryotic small subunit ribosomal RNA", at positions 1647 to 1719 of the family's 1831-position model. Lineage: Eukaryota; Fungi; Ascomycota; Sordariomycetes; Hypocreales; Nectriaceae. The record is from RNAcentral.